UACGUAGGGGGCUAGCGUUGUCCGGAAUCAUUGGGCGUAAAGAGCGCGUAGGCGGCCAGGCAAGUCCGGUGUGAAAGUCACAGGCUCAACCUGUGAAUGCCGCUGGAAACUGUCUGGCUAGAGUCCGGAAGGGGCGAGUGGAAUUCCUGGUGUAGCGGUGAAAUGCGCAGAUAUCAGGAGGAACACCUAUGGCGAAGGCAGCUCGCUGGGACGGUACUGACGCUGAGGCGCGAAAGCUAGGGGAGCAAACAGG
RNAcentral lists this ribosomal RNA (253 nucleotides) under uncultured bacterium. RNAcentral's name for it is "partial 16S ribosomal RNA". It matches the Rfam family "Bacterial small subunit ribosomal RNA", at positions 524 to 776 of the family's 1533-position model. The record is from RNAcentral.